Molecule: long non-coding RNA, 238 nt
Organism: Physeter macrocephalus (sperm whale)
Lineage: Eukaryota; Metazoa; Chordata; Mammalia; Artiodactyla; Physeteridae
Exons: 3
Source: RefSeq, a predicted model, not a curated record
AAAAUAUUUCAGGCAGAUGGGGAUUGGAUCUCUGUUUAAGAGGGGGAAAUUUUGGUGCAGAAGAUUUGGAGACUUCAUGAAAAUCACAAAACUGGUUAGCAUCAGAGCUAAUACUGGACCUCCGGACCCCUGACACCUAAUUCAAUGCUCUUUCCACUGUACCAUGCUGAUUUUGGGUCAUCUGCUGAAUCAAUGGGGGAUUCCAUUCGCUCUACUGUCAAGAAGGCAGCCAGAUUGG